ACAAACUAGAGAGAACUGCAAGGACUCAGUACAUCCCUGGCACAGUCCAUUCUCUCUCACAGCAUAUUGUAUGAGACUGUGUGAGUGCUGCUUCCACGCUACACUAAAAACCCAUGGUCCCUGCAUUAUUUGAGCAACUGACAAGCUUCUGAAGUUCAGGUUCGCGAACGCUGAGAGCAGCACCCAGUGGAUUUGUGGCAGGGAGGAAAACUCGUAGGACCUCCUAGGAUGCAUCUUGGCUCCAAGUUCGUGCAGUGUUAUUAGGAAAUUACAAGUCUAAGCAGCCGCAAAGAGACCGUUAAAUCACAUCACCUGCAGGUUUUUGAUGAACCAAGCUGGCUGGUGUCGCCUCAGUUUGUCUAAAUUACCAAGGACCGCUGGAAUUUCCCUGGGAAUAUGUUUCGGGAAAGGUCAGAAACUCUUCAGUCGUCUUCACGCUUCCACUCAGUAGCAACGUUUUUGCACACUCAUUGACUAUCAACUGGUUGUCUAUGACUCAAAUUACAUAAUGAAUCCAGCACAUAAAUUAUUUACUCAGAUUUAAUGCCAGCAACUGUUAUCUUUGUAUUUUUUUCCCCUCUGCCAGCUAAUCUGGCUCAUUUCAUUGGAAUUUUGGUCAUGCCCAUUCUCCUUCUGCACUAAAUUAACUCCAUAACGUAGUAUAAACAGAACAAGCUUGUGUGUGAUAUGCUUAACUGUUAAUUUACCUAAUUAAACUAAUUCAAUUAAAUCAUUUACAUCUUUUUGGUAACAUGCCAGUUGAUACCACAGCAGAAGUGGGAUGUUUCAGAAGAUGAUUGUUCAGCAAAUGAAUGGAAAAAAAAAUAAAAGGAAAACAAAAUGAGACAACCGUCCAAAUCUCUUGGCUUGAAAAUUAAAUGAUACUGAAA
Molecule: long non-coding RNA, 890 nt
Filed under: Homo sapiens (human)
Lineage: Eukaryota; Metazoa; Chordata; Mammalia; Primates; Hominidae
Description: HSALNT0233404
Source: RNAcentral